Molecule: ribosomal RNA, 465 nt
Filed under: uncultured bacterium
Lineage: Bacteria
Description: partial 16S ribosomal RNA
Rfam family: Bacterial small subunit ribosomal RNA
Source: RNAcentral
GACGAACGCUGGCGGCGUGCUUAACACAUGCAAGUCGAACGGAAAGGCCCCUUUGGGGGUACUCGAGUGGCGAACGGGUGAGUAACACGUGAGUAACCUGCCCUUGACUUCGGGAUAACUUCAGGAAACUGGGGCUAAUACCGGAUAGGAAUCCUUGCUGCAUGGUGGGGGUUGGAAAGCUUCGGCGGUUUUGGAUGGACUCGCAGCUUAUCAGCUUGUUGGUGGGGUAGUGGCUUACCAAGGCUUUGACGGGUAGCCGGCCUGAGAGGGCGACCGGCCACAUUAGGACUGAGAUACGGCCCAGACUCCUACGGGAGGCAGCAGUGGGGAAUAUUGCACAAAGGGCGGAAGCCUGAUGCAGCAACGCCGCGUGCGGGAUGACGGCCUUCGGGUUGUAAACCGCUUUCAGCAGGGGCGAAGCUUGUGGUGACGGUACCUGCAGAAGAAGCACCGGCUAACUACGUG